Molecule: long non-coding RNA, 866 nt
Organism: Alnus glutinosa
Lineage: Eukaryota; Viridiplantae; Streptophyta; Magnoliopsida; Fagales; Betulaceae
Exons: 3
Source: RefSeq, a predicted model, not a curated record
AUGAAAUUCAUCUCAACCCUAGUGAGGCUGUGGGUAUUGGAGCCAAUUGGACUUGGGUUCUCUCUAUCUCCAUCUCCGCACUCUCUCUCUCCCCUCUCGCCGGAAAUCAGAUUUUUUUUAUUCGUUUGCUUCCUCGUCUACGGCCCCCUCUUCCUCUCUUCUUUCUUCUUUUUUUUUUCCUCUUCGGUUUCUAUUUUUCUCUUCUCCCUCCCAGUUUCUCCUGAUUCUCCUCCCUUCACUUUCUUGUUCUUCCUUUCUGGGUGAAACAGAGAGAGCGAGAGAUUGAGAGGGAGAUUAACAGAGAGAGAUCGAGAGGGAGAGGGAGAGAGAUACACGAAGAGAGACGGGAAGAGAGAUCUGGAGAGGGAGAGAUCAGACCCCGAGAGUGAACCCGUGAGGCCGGAGGACCGAACAGAGGGACCCGAUCCUUCCUGGGGUCCGGUCAACGGUGGGUCGUCGGAGGGCGCGGAUUCCGGAGACUUUCGUGUAGGAUUUUCCCGGUGAGAACAGAGGCAAUUUCCGGUGGAUUUUCUGUAUUGAGCGGAUAUUCCCCUAUCCCUGGAGCUUUGUUUCAUUGGUCAUGAAAGCUAAAUCUAUAAAGAAGCCAAGACCACCAGAGAAGUCCAAGCAAACCCAAGACCCAGAGAAGUCAUGUUGUCGAUUGUAAAGAGACGUGAGCCAUGGCAGGGGUGACUUUGUGACAACCCAUGAUUAAUUCUAUCAAAUGAGUCGCGAAUAGAAAUGUUAGAAUAUAAAUUGAAUAAUUAAAUUCAUCGCUACUUUAAGCUCAAGUUUUUGAGAUAAAUGAUAAUUUAACAUGGUACGAGAGCAAACAUCACGUGUUUAAACUUUGUUUUUGUUAUUCA